UCGCGAACGGGAUUCGAUCCCCUGGUCGUCCAUGCCGUACCCGAUGAGUGCUAAGUGUUGGGGGGUUUCCGCCUCUCAGUGCUGCAGUAACGCAUUAAGCCCUCCGCCUGGGGCGUACGCCCGCAAGGUUGACACUCAAAGGAAUUGACGGGGGCCCGCACAAGCGGUGGCGCAUGUGG
Molecule: ribosomal RNA, 179 nt
Filed under: uncultured bacterium
Lineage: Bacteria
Description: partial 16S ribosomal RNA
Rfam family: Bacterial small subunit ribosomal RNA
Source: RNAcentral